This is a long non-coding RNA of Pongo pygmaeus (Bornean orangutan), 1520 nucleotides long. RefSeq lists it as uncharacterized. NCBI's taxonomy places the organism in Eukaryota, Metazoa, Chordata, Mammalia, Primates, Hominidae. The transcript has 4 exons. The record is from RefSeq and is a predicted model, not a curated record.
UGUUUUUCACAUUCCUCCCGGAUUUCAAUUUCCUUCUGGAAUCUCAGCUCUUUUCAUCAUCUGCUCUUGCAGGAACACUAAACUGCAAACGCAACCUUACGAUUCAGCGGACUACGUCCCAUGAAGAUUACUGGGUACAUAUACAUUUAGUUUCGUGUUCCCUUGUGACUUUCUGUAUCACUGCACACAGUUGUUACUGUGAAACAAGCAUUAAAAGUCUGGGUAGAUUACUGGGUUCAUACACAUUUACUUUCUUGUUCUCUUGGGAGUUUUGAUAUGGCUGCACCAAUUGUUGCUGUGAAAUAAACGUUAAAGGAGCCCGUGGCCCGUACGGGGAUCGAACCCGCGACCUUGGCGUUAUUAGCACCACGCUCUAACCGACUGAGCUAACCGGCCCCGCCGGCAGCAGGGGGCCCUACCCCUCUUGAGAAGUUUAAAGGCGAACGUUAUUCCAAUCACCAAAGAAACUUUUCUGAAGUUCUCGGAGCUGGAAAGAACCUACGAUCUUUGCUAACUUCUUUAGGUUCCUCGGCAAAUUUCUUCUAACCCUGAAAUUUCGGUUAAAAUACAACGCUGCGGAAGGAAAGUUCAAAUGUCACCUGCUUCAGUGUUUCAUGACAAGGGGUUUUAGUGACCACCCUUUUAAACGCAACGCCAUCACCGUCCGCCGGUACUGUGGCCUGUCCCUAUCACUCCUUUCUACUUUGCUUCGGUAGCUUCUGAGCGACCCGUGAAGAAAUUGACGGAAAACGGAAGGAAUUACCGCCAGUUCCUUUCCACGGGCCGUCAAGGCCAGUAUAAGUCCCCACCCAGGCUCCUCUGCUCGUAACUUCUAGCACGAUUCCCACUGUAUUCGCCCAUGUUUCCCAAAAGAUCCCGACUCAGAUUGAAAAAGCAGAGGAUGGUCACUGCCUUCCAGGUCUGAGGCUGUCUCCCAGAAACUUCGUUCCUGGCUUCGCCUUGGUUCUCCAUCACUUUCGGAGUCCUACAGGAGGAAAGUGCUAUUGAAGAUGCGGCGCGUAUGGCGUGAAGUUCUGGGGCUGGGAGAAGCUGCCCCACUACUUCCGGGCGGCCUUGCCUGCGGGGAGCAGUUCACAACCUAGUGUUGUCCACUUGCAUGGGAUGUUUCUUUUCCAUCACAAUGCUCUGAGAUAACUAAGUCAAGGGAAGUUUGUGCAGCCCUCCAGACCCUCCAGAUUUCAAAGGAAAGCCCACCGCUGCUGGUCUGGGGGAGCUGAUGGCCUAUUCAUGGAUGAGAUGGACUAGGGACAGUGGGAAGCAUAAUGGACCAACAGCAUUGUUGGAGGGGACUGGGUGAGGAAGCAGGAGCCUCAACAACACUCCCCAGUUACUGCGUGAACACUGUCUCCAGAGGGGUCUUGUAGCAUCAAAAAUUAAAGCUAAAUGUUGAUUUCUUUCUGGUAAUUAUUUUGUUCAGCAACCUGGAAAAACGAACAAAAAUUAUCUCAUUCCCGGUCCUAUCUAAAGUCUGAAAUAUUUAAUUAAAAUGAUAAAACUUU